UGGGGAAUAUUGGACAAUGGGGGGAACCCUGAUCCCGCCAUGCCGCGUGUGUGAAGAAGGCCUUAUGGUUGUAAAGCACUUUAAGCGAGGAGGAGGGUACUGGUAUUAAUACUACCAGGUACUGGACGUUACUCGCAGAAUAAGCACCGGCUAACUCUGUGCCAGCAGCCGCGGUAAUACAGAGGGUGCGAGCGUUAAUCGGAUUUACUGGGCGUAAAGCGCGCGUAGGUGGUUCGUUAAGUUGAAUGUGAAAGCCCCGGGCUCAACCUGGGAACUGCAUCCAAAACUGGCGAGCUAGAGUAGGGCAGAGGGUGGUGGAAUUUCCUGUGUAGCGGUGAAAUGCGUAGAUAUAGGAAGGAACACCAGUGGCGAAGGCGACCACCUGGGCUCAUACUGACACUGAGGUGCGAAAGCGUGGGGAGCAAACAGG
RNAcentral lists this ribosomal RNA (430 nucleotides) under Pseudomonadota bacterium. RNAcentral describes it as "Proteobacteria bacterium partial 16S ribosomal RNA". It matches the Rfam family "Bacterial small subunit ribosomal RNA", at positions 355 to 776 of the family's 1533-position model. The record is from RNAcentral. Lineage: Bacteria; Pseudomonadati; Pseudomonadota.